RNAcentral lists this ribosomal RNA (392 nucleotides) under uncultured bacterium. Its description in RNAcentral is "bacterial SSU rRNA". It matches the Rfam family "Bacterial small subunit ribosomal RNA", at positions 29 to 420 of the family's 1533-position model. The record is from RNAcentral.
AUUGAACGCUGGCGGAAUGCUUUACACAUGCAAGUCGAACGGCAGCACGGGUGCUUGCACCUGGUGGCGAGUGGCGAACGGGUGAGUAAUGCACCGGAACGUAUCCAAUAAUGGGGGAUAACGCACCGAAAGGUGUGCUAAUACCGCAUACGCCCUGAGGGGGAAAGCGGGGGAUCGUAAGACCUCGCGUUAAUGGAGCGGCCGAUGCCGGAUUAGCUAGUUGGUGAGGUAAAGGCUCACCAAGGCGACGAUCCGUAGCUGGUCUGAGAGGACGACCAGCCACACUGGAACUGAGACACGGUCCAGACUCCUACGGGAGGCAGCAGUGGGGAAUUUUGGACAAUGGGCGCAAGCCUGAUCCAGCCAUUCCGCGUGAGUGAAGAAGGCCUCGG